RNAcentral lists this ribosomal RNA (465 nucleotides) under uncultured bacterium. RNAcentral's name for it is "partial 16S ribosomal RNA". It matches the Rfam family "Bacterial small subunit ribosomal RNA", at positions 28 to 507 of the family's 1533-position model. The record is from RNAcentral.
GACGAACGCUGGCGGCGUGCUUAACACAUGCCAGUCGAGCGAGGCCCCUCCUUCGGGAGGGUGUCCUAGCGGCGAACGGGUGAGUAACACGUGGGCAACCUGCCCUCAGCUCUGGGAUAACUCCGGGAAACCGGGGCUAAUACCGGAUACGACCUCCACGGGCAUCUGCGGAGGUGGAAGGUUUUUCGGCUGAGGAUGGGCCCGCGGCCUAUCAGCUAGUUGGUGGGGUAGUGGCCCACCAAGGCGACGACGGGUAGCCGGCCUGAGAGGGCGACCGGCCACACUGGGACUGAGACACGGCCCAGACUCCUACGGGAGGCAGCAGUGGGGAAUAUUGCGCAAUGGGCGAAAGCCUGACGCAGCGACGCCGCGUGAGGGACGAAGGCCUUCGGGUUGUAAACCUCUUUCAGCAGGGACGAAGCGAAAGUGACGGUACCUGCAGAAGAAGCACCGGCCAACUACGUG